AAGGUACACAAAAUAAAUUAUCCAUCUAAUACAUCUGGGAAACUGAAAAGCAGGAUCUUGUUCUUAGAAAGAAAGAGAGAAGCAGCUAGGAAUUGUGAGAACCUUCUUUCUGUCCGAAGUAAAACAAUGCUAGAGGUCACCUAGUCCAGCUUCCUCAUUUUACAGAUAAAGUAACUAAGGUUCAGAAAGGUCACUUGUCAGUCAGUAGCAAACUAGAAUUUGAACUGUGAUUUUUUUUUUUUACUUCCAACAGGUAGAACUUAGUCUACAAUAAAUUCCUUCUGUUUAAAAAGAAUAGAAAACCCAACAAAUCAUCUCUAGAAAUUUCAAGAGUUUAGUGUACUGAACUUAAUGAAUAGGCCCGCAAACACUCUUUCAAAGUUGCAGGUGACCAAAUAUAUCAAAGACAAAAUAAGGAAAUUUUAGAAUUUUAGUAGAAAAAUUAAAUUAGAUUUCCAAUUGAAAUGACAGCAUUUACUACAAUUUUCACAACAAACCCAAUAUUAGUUUUUUUCCAAAACAAAAAAAUUUCCUUGAAAAUUUACCAACUCAAUUUUCUGAAUUUUUCUUGUGAUAAAGUUAAAGAAAUUAUAAUCUGCAUUAAUCUGGGGAAGUUUGUGGAACUGAUCUUCAAAGUUCUCAUUUCCUUAAGCUUAUAUUUAAGACUUCCCAUUGGGGAUGAUCUAGGUUUCUUUUAGGAGGGCAGUUGCGUUCUCAGUAAUUCUCCAGUUCCAUAAAAGCAAAACUGAUUAUGGAAAAUCAUGAUCAUGGUGCUGACACAUCAGCUAAGGAUGAAUUUAUGCUGAACCUAGAAUGGUGAGAAGCCUUAGUUGGGGAAACAGAAUUCACUAGGCCUAGGUAAAGAUUAACUCUACUUUGGUCCUACUACCAAUUCAACAAGUGACCACAAGCAAAUCAUAAGACCACACCAGUACAGACUUUUAGAACAGCAAGAGAUUUUCUACACCAUGUAGUUCAGAUAUUUGAGUUAAGAUGAAAGGAUAUUGUUAGAGCAUCUCAAAAAUCAGUGCUUGCACAGAUAAGGUGCUUAAUAAACAUUUGCUGAAACAAAGGUCAAGAGAAUUCUUUGAGGUUGGAGCUAUGAACAUAUAGCUUUCAAGCAUUUUGACAAAUAAUUAAUUUGGUUUAAAAUGGUCAAAAUGGUCUAAUCAAAAAAUAAUUUGAUAAAUUUUUUUUCUGCCACCCACUAGGAUCUGUUUUGGCAUCUAUCAAAUCCCA
RNAcentral lists this long non-coding RNA (1239 nucleotides) under Sarcophilus harrisii (Tasmanian devil). RNAcentral describes it as "lncRNA (ENSSHAG00000027438.1)". Lineage: Eukaryota; Metazoa; Chordata; Mammalia; Dasyuromorphia; Dasyuridae. The record is from RNAcentral.